This 1151-nucleotide long non-coding RNA is filed under the name Medicago truncatula (barrel medic). RNAcentral's name for it is "long non-coding RNA (MTRU_LNC000382)". Lineage: Eukaryota; Viridiplantae; Streptophyta; Magnoliopsida; Fabales; Fabaceae. The record is from RNAcentral.
UUCAUCAUAAAGAAAAGGCAAAUAGUAGGGAACCCCCCUUUAUAUUUGCACCAUAAUUGGAACGCCUUAAUCAACGCACAUGAGAAAGGGUGAAUUUAUGAAGGCGCCACCUUAAUAUGCUUUAACAUAAUCAAUUCAAAGAUGUUAAACGGAAGCAUGACAUCCAGCUCUCCAAAAAUAAUGUAGUAGUCGGUAAAGCAACAACCCUAGAAGGUGCUGCAGACCCUUAUCCUCCGAUGGGACCUCCGCCCACCAAUGACCUUCAAAAAGGAACAGACACCAAAGACAUCUCCGUGCACCAAACCAUAAUCGGCAAUAUCCGAAGGGAGUUAUAGCUUUGUAAUCCUCCGCAAGUCUUUGUCUCUGUCCACAAAUAGAAAAGGAAGACCGUGAGUGCGGAAUCUGGAAGUCUCUUUUAACCACCACACAAUUUCUGGGUGGGAGGGAGAACACAUCAUAUACGAGAUUAAAGACCUUAUCAUAGACUGAUAAUUCUCGUCCCUUUCAAAAUCAAUAACAACAACAUGAUUUAUCAUCUCAAUCAGAGCAAAAAUAAAACCAUCACCCACUCGUACCCAAAAGUAAAACCAACAUUAUUCCUCAUCCUCAUCUAGAAUACAAUCCAACUCAACAAGCAUUUUAUCAACUUCCUUACAUAAUGAACUCUUAGAGUCAAGAAAAAUCAUGUCUCUCAUUAUUUUGAUGCAAUAAAAAGGCAAAGAAAAACAACAGAGGUUCGUAAGAAAGGAAAAGAAAUCAUACCUAAUCAAAAAAGGAAGAAAAUAAUUGAAAGGCGAAAGGUAGAAGAAAACAUACCUGAUCAAAAAAGGAAGAAAGGAAGAAGAACACAUACUUGAUCAAAACUCGGCAGUUAUGGUCGAACAAUCGAACGGGAUCACCAUAAAAUCUGGAAUCUACUAAGGAAAUAUGAAAAAACAAAAGGAGGUUACUAAGGGAUAAAUUUAUGGUUUCAAUGUGCAACUGAGCUGAGAAGCUAAAAAAGUGGAAAUGAAAAGGUUCCCACCUUUUAAAGACUUUAAAGCGUUUGAGUCAACGCUCCAGAUCAAUUAGGAACCAAAGGCCAUGAUUCAAUGGUUAAAUCAACCACGAUCCCCUAGAAACAUUCGAGUGGUGGAACGCCGAAAUGGAAG